Molecule: ribosomal RNA, 492 nt
Filed under: uncultured bacterium
Lineage: Bacteria
Description: partial 16S ribosomal RNA
Rfam family: Bacterial small subunit ribosomal RNA
Source: RNAcentral
AGUGAACGCUGGCGGUAGGCCUAACACAUGCAAGUCGAACGGCAGCACAGUAAGAGCUUGCUCUUACGGGUGGCGAGUGGCGGACGGGUGAGGAAUACAUCGGAAUCUACUUUUUCUUGGGGGAUAACGUAGGGAAACUGACGCUAAUACCGCAUACGACCUACGGGUGAAAUCAGGGGAUCUUCGGACCUUGCGCGAUUGAAUGAGCCGAUGUCGGAUUAGCUAGUUGGCGGGGUAAAGGCCCACCAAGGCGACGAUCCGUAGCUGGUCUGAGAGGAUGAUCAGCCACACUGGAACUGAGACACGGUCCAGACUCCUACGGGAGGCAGCAGUGGGGAAUAUUGGACAAUGGGCGAAAGCCUGAUCCAGCCAUACCGCGUGGGUGAAGAAGGCCUUCGGGUUGUAAAGCCCUUUUGUUGGGAAAGAAAAGCAGCAGGUUAAUACCCCGCUGUUCUGACGGUACCCAAAGAAUAAGCACCGGCUAACUUCGUG